UACGUAGGCGGAAAAUUAAGUCAGUAGUGAAAACCUGCAGCUUAACUGUAGAACUGCCAUUGAUACUGUUAGUCUUGAGUACGGUCAAGGUAGGCGGAAUGUGUAAUGUAGCGGUGAAAUGCUUAGAUAUUACACAGAACACCGAUUGCGAAGGCAGCUUACUGGACCAUUACUGACGCUGAGGCACGAAAGCGUGGGGAGCGAACAGGAUUAGAUACCCUGGUAGUCC
Molecule: ribosomal RNA, 229 nt
Filed under: uncultured bacterium
Lineage: Bacteria
Description: partial 16S ribosomal RNA
Rfam family: Bacterial small subunit ribosomal RNA
Source: RNAcentral